AUGGCGACGGCGACGCUCCCAGUUACCUGUCCUCUCCACUUUUUCCUCUUCAUGUCUAGCAUCGUCGUCGCCGCCGGCGUCGCGGCCACGGAGAGAGUCCCAAAUCCAAACAACAACACCACCGGCACCACGUCCGCCUGCCCGUUGUACCGCUGCGGCCACGCCGUGGACAUCCGGUACCCGUUUUGGAUCGACGGCGGGAACGGCACAUUGAACGGCUCCCACCACUGUGGGUACCCGAGCCUCCGGCUGGAGUGCCGGCGCGACACGCCGGUCCUGCGGCUCCCGUCGGGCGACUACGCGGUGACGCACAUCCUCUACGGCGACCGCACGGUGUCCCUGUUCGACCUGGGCGUCUUCUCCCGGUCCAACACGUGCCCGCUCGUCGGCCGCAACCUCACGCUCCCGGACGGCUCGCCGCUGUCGCUCACGGCCAGGGACGCCAACCUCACCUUCUUCAUCCACUGUUCCUUCAUCGGCAUCCCGGCGCACCAGGUGGCGUGCCUGGAGGGCGACGGCCGGCACCACUCGUACGUCUUCCGGGACGGCGACGACCUCACGCCGUACAGCUACGCCGGGCUGUGCCAGGACGUGGUGGGGAUGCCGGUGCUCAGGAGGUCCCUGCUCGGCAGGACGGGGACAGCAGCCAGCGGCCCGCUGGACGCCGUCAUACCGGCGCUGAACAUGGGGUUCGAGCUGAGCUGGAGGCCGGAGGCGAGCGGGGAGUGCGGCGGCUGCGAGAAAUCCGGCGGCCUGUGCGGUCACCGUCGGCAGGCGGCGCGAGACGCAUGGACUUUCACGUGCUUUAGAACUGCAACGACUCCUGCUGCAUGGGCCACACCCAAAUCUUCAGGUACGCAACACUGUUUCGAUCGCCUUCAAUCAGGAGUGUGGAUUUUGUCU
RNAcentral lists this ribosomal RNA (903 nucleotides) under Triticum aestivum (bread wheat). RNAcentral's name for it is "partial small subunit ribosomal RNA". The record is from RNAcentral. Lineage: Eukaryota; Viridiplantae; Streptophyta; Magnoliopsida; Poales; Poaceae.